AACUAUCAAAACACAACUGCUGUUUGUAUACGGGGAUGUGUUUUGGACUUUGGGACUGUGCUGGCGUUGUCCAGCUUUCCUCAAAAGCAUUCAUUAGCUUGAAGAUAUGAUGCAUCAGUGUGAUAAAUUGCCUAUGCACUGGCACUAUCUCUCUGCUUCUAUGACAUAUUAUGACC
RNAcentral lists this unclassified non-coding RNA (176 nucleotides) under uncultured Amanita. RNAcentral describes it as "sequence contains ITS2". Lineage: Eukaryota; Fungi; Basidiomycota; Agaricomycetes; Agaricales; Amanitaceae. The record is from RNAcentral.